CGUAGGGUCCGAGCGUUGUCCGGAAUUAUUGGGCGUAAAGGGCUCGUAGGCGGUUUGUCGCGUCGGGAGUGAAAACUCAGGGCUCAACCCUGAGCGUGCUUUCGAUACGGGCAGACUAGAGGUAUGCAGGGGAGAACGGAAUUCCUGGUGUAGCGGUGGAAUGCGCAGAUAUCAGGAGGAACACCGGUGGCGAAGGCGGUUCUCUGGGCAUUACCUGACGCUGAGGAGCGAAAGCAUGGGGAGCGAACAGGAUUAGAUACCCUGGUAGUCCAUGCCGUAAACGUUGGGCGCUAGGUGUGGGGACCUUCCACGGUCUCCGUGCCGCAGCUAACGCAUUAAGCGCCCCGCCUGGGGAGUACGGCCGCAAGGCUA
Molecule: ribosomal RNA, 372 nt
Filed under: uncultured organism
Description: bacterial SSU rRNA
Rfam family: Bacterial small subunit ribosomal RNA
Source: RNAcentral